CAUGUCCCUGCAAAGGACAUGAACUCAUCCUUUUUUAUGGCUGCAUAGUAUUCCAUGGUGUAUAUGUACCACAUUUUCUUUAUCCAGGCUCCCAUUGAUGGGCACUUAGGUUUCUUCCACGUCUUGGCUAUUCUGAACAGUACU
Cebus imitator (Panamanian white-faced capuchin) is the source of this 144-nucleotide long non-coding RNA. RefSeq lists it as uncharacterized. The transcript has 2 exons. NCBI's taxonomy places the organism in Eukaryota, Metazoa, Chordata, Mammalia, Primates, Cebidae. The record is from RefSeq and is a predicted model, not a curated record.